This 396-nucleotide ribosomal RNA is filed under the name Carassius auratus auratus (gold crucian carp). RNAcentral describes it as "partial 12S ribosomal RNA". Lineage: Eukaryota; Metazoa; Chordata; Actinopteri; Cypriniformes; Cyprinidae. The record is from RNAcentral.
CAAAGGCAUGGUCCCGACCUUAUUAUCAGCUCUAACUCAACUUACACAUGCAAGUCUCCGCACCCCAGUGAAUAUGCCCUCAAUCCCCCUACCCGGGGACGAGGAGCGGGCAUCAGGCACAAAUAUUAGCCCAAGACGCCUAGCCGAGCCACACCCCCAAGGGAAUUCAGCAGUGAUAAACAUUAAGCCAUAAGUGAAAACUUGACUCAGUUAGUGUUAAGAGGGCCGGUAAAACUCGUGCCAGCCACCGCGGUUAGACGAGAGGCCCUAGUUGAUAUUACAACGGCGUAAAGGGUGGUUAAGGAUAAAUAAAAAUAAAGUCAAAUGGCCCCUUGGCCGUCAUACGCUUCUAGGCGUCCGAAGCCCUAAUACGAAAGUAACUUUAAUGAACCCACC